RNAcentral lists this ribosomal RNA (460 nucleotides) under uncultured bacterium. RNAcentral describes it as "partial 16S ribosomal RNA". It matches the Rfam family "Bacterial small subunit ribosomal RNA", at positions 338 to 795 of the family's 1533-position model. The record is from RNAcentral.
CCUACGGGUGACAGCAGUGAGGAAUAUUGGUCAAUGGACGCAAGUCUGAACCAGCCAUGCCGCGUGCAGGAAGACGGCUCUAUGAGUUGUAAACUGCUUUUGUACGAGGGUAAACGCAGAUACGCGUAUCUGUCUGAAAGUAUCGUACGAAUAAGGAUCGGCUAACUCCGUGCCAGCAGCCGCGGUAAUACGGAGGAUUCAAGCGUUAUCCGGAUUUAUUGGGUUUAAAGGGUGCGUAGGCGGUUGGAUAAGUUAGAGGUGAAAUCCCGAGGCUCAACUUCGGAACUGCCUCUGAUACUGUCCGGCUAGAGAGUAGUUGCGGUAGGCGGAAUGUAUGGUGUAGCGGUGAAAUGCUUAGAGAUCAUACAGAACACCGAUUGCGAAGGCAGCUUACCAAGCUACUACUGACGUUGAGGCACGAAAGCGUGGGGAGCAAACAGGAUUAGAUACCCGUGUAGUC